GAUGAACGCUAGCGGCAGGCUUAACACAUGCAAGUCGAGGGGCAGCAUGUCCAGCAAUGGAUGAUGGCGACCGGCGGAAGGGUGCGUAACGCGUGAGCAACAUGCCCUAUACAGGGAGAUACACCAGGGAAACUUGGUCUAAUAUCCCAUAGCAUUCAUUGAAGGCAUCUUUAAUGAAUUAAAGCUUCGGUAGUAUAGGAUUGGCUCGCGUGACAUUAGCCAGAUGGUGAGGUAACGGCUCACCAUAGCAAUGAUGUCUAGGGGUUUUGAGAGGAAGGCCCCCCACACUGGGACUGAGACACGGCCCAGACUCCUACGGGAGGCAGCAGUGAGGAAUAUUGGACAAUGGAUGGAAAUCUGAUCCAGCCAUGCCGCGUGCAGGAAGACGGCCUUAUGGGUUGUAAACUGCUUUUAUACGGGAGCAAUAAGGGUUACGAGUAAUCCGAUGAGAGUACUGUAUGAAUAAGGAUCGGCUAACUCCGUGCCAGCAGCCGCGGUAAUACGGAGGAUCCGAGCGUUAUCCGGAAUUAUUGGGUUUAAAGGGUGCGUAGGCGGCCAUUUAAGUCAGCGGUGAAAUUUUGCAGCUUAACUGUAACAGUGCCGUUGAUACUGUUUGGCUAGGAUUUGGUUGUAGUGUGCGGAAUGUGUGGUGUCGCGGUGAAAUGCUUAGAUAUCACACAGAACACCGAUUGCGAAGGCAGCACACUAAGUCAUUAUUGACGCUGAGGCACGAAAGUGUGGGGAUCAAACAGG
Molecule: ribosomal RNA, 753 nt
Filed under: uncultured Labilibacter sp.
Lineage: Bacteria; Pseudomonadati; Bacteroidota; Bacteroidia; Marinilabiliales; Marinilabiliaceae
Description: bacterial SSU rRNA
Rfam family: Bacterial small subunit ribosomal RNA
Source: RNAcentral